CUAGUAACGGCGGAGUGAACGGGGAUAAGCCCAGCACCGAAGCCUGUGUCCUGUUGGAUACUAGGCACUGUGGUGUUUAGGUGGUGACAUGUCAGCUUAUCUGCUGCCCCAAGUCCAGUAAUGAAUAUGGCUCUUAUAUUGGCCCAGAGAGGGUGAAAGGCCCGUGGGGGUAGUGAUGGUAGGUUGACUUGUUCCACCUUGGAGUCGGGUUGUUUGUGAAUGCAGCCCAAAGUGGGUGGUAGACUCCAUCUAAGGCUAAAUACUGGCACGAGUCCGAUAGCGAACAAGUACCGUGAGGGAAAGUUGAAAAGUACUCUGAAGAGAGAGUAAACAGUGCGUGAAACCGCUGAGAGGUAAACGGGUGUAGUCAAGCUGCAAGCCCUAGGGAUUCAGCCGAUCAGUGUGGUGUGUGUGCAUGAGCACAUUUUUGGUCUGUCGCGGUCUGCCUAAACUGGUGGGCUUGGCUCCUCGUACUUGGGCGUCAAAUGGAUGCUAAGCGCCGUGCAGGAUCCAAAGGCUGGUCGGUGCACUUCCUUAGGGUGUAAGCCACGACCGCCGUUGCUGCCGGUCUGCCGGGAUCAACCUUCUUGGUUGGGCUAUUUGGCUCGGCCAGGUCGGGAUGGCAGGUAGCCAGGUGUGUACGCUCGCGUACAUAUCGGGUGUUAUAGCCGAUCCUUGGGCGGUACAUAAACUGUGCAGUUCGGUGGAGAUGUCGACGUGUUGGUAACGGCUUAUGUGCUAAAGUCUGCCGGCGUGGUCAACGUCUGGCUGCCUGUAGUCGAUGCAAAAUUCGGCCUGGCGGCGGCUUGUUCACGGUGUAGCGGGCGGCGGCGUAAGCUAGCCAUCGGCCCUUGUGCCGGUUCGUCGUCU
RNAcentral lists this ribosomal RNA (870 nucleotides) under Neopolystoma cf. orbiculare HD-2020. RNAcentral's name for it is "partial large subunit ribosomal RNA". It matches the Rfam family "Eukaryotic large subunit ribosomal RNA", at positions 80 to 608 of the family's 3401-position model. Lineage: Eukaryota; Metazoa; Platyhelminthes; Monogenea; Polystomatidea; Polystomatidae. The record is from RNAcentral.